UGAACGCUGGCGGCGUGCCUAAUACAUGCAAGUCGAGCGAACAGACGAGGAGCUUGCUCCUCUUACGUUAGCGGCGGACGGGUGAGUAACACGUGGAUAACCUACCUAUAAGACUGGGAUAACUUCGGGAAACCGGAGCUAAUACCGGAUAAUAUAUUGAACCGCAUGGUUCAAUAGUGAAAGACGGUUUUGCUGUCACUUAUAGAUGGAUCCGCGCCGCAUUAGCUAGUUGGUAAGGUAACGGCUUACCAAGGCAACGAUGCGUAGCCGACCUGAGAGGGUGAUCGGCCACACUGGAACUGAGACACGGUCCAGACUCCUACGGGAGGCAGCAGUAGGGAAUCUUCCGCAAUGGGCGAAAGCCUGACGGAGCAACGCCGCGUGAGUGAUGAAGGUCUUCGGAUCGUAAAACUCUGUUAUUAGGGAAGAACAAAUGUGUAAGUAACUAUGCACGUCUUGACGGUACCUAAUCAGAAAGCCACGGCUAACUACGUG
RNAcentral lists this ribosomal RNA (495 nucleotides) under uncultured bacterium. RNAcentral's name for it is "partial 16S ribosomal RNA". It matches the Rfam family "Bacterial small subunit ribosomal RNA", at positions 30 to 507 of the family's 1533-position model. The record is from RNAcentral.